RNAcentral lists this transfer RNA (75 nucleotides) under Vibrio cholerae. RNAcentral describes it as "tRNA-Phe(gaa)". It matches the Rfam family "tRNA". Rfam says of the family: Transfer RNA (tRNA) molecules are approximately 80 nucleotides in length. Their secondary structure includes four short double-helical elements and three loops (D, anti-codon, and T loops). Lineage: Bacteria; Pseudomonadati; Pseudomonadota; Gammaproteobacteria; Vibrionales; Vibrionaceae. The record is from RNAcentral.
GCCCGGAUAGCUCAGUCGGUAGAGCAGAGGAUUGAAAAUCCUCGUGUCGGUGGUUCGAUUCCGCCUCCGGGCACC